CUGCAGAGGAACAAGGCUGAACCCCCAACACGAGGAUGACAGCCCUGUGCUCUCCACAG
Molecule: microRNA precursor, 59 nt
Organism: Bison bison bison
Lineage: Eukaryota; Metazoa; Chordata; Mammalia; Artiodactyla; Bovidae
Source: Ensembl